Molecule: unclassified non-coding RNA, 1892 nt
Filed under: Zea mays
Lineage: Eukaryota; Viridiplantae; Streptophyta; Magnoliopsida; Poales; Poaceae
Description: misc RNA Zm00001eb144470
Source: RNAcentral
UCUCCCUCCUCAUCCUUCCACCUCUCGUCGCCGUCUAUGGUCUUCGUGUUCCCACCGCCAACGACACCAGCGCGCCUAGGUUGCUAGCUCAUGGCCUUGCCAGCCACCACAAAGGCAGCAUCGGCAAUGGCGUCCAUCCACCAGCAAUGCGGGGCCGCGACGGGCCCGCGCGCGCGGCGGCGAGUCCAGUGCCGCGGCGCGGCCAACAGCGUGGCUGCCGUCGCCGCGGCGCGCGCACCGGUGGAGGCAGCGCCGCCACGGCACGCGGCGCGGAGGAGCACGUCCACGGCGACCGUGGCGGGCAUGUGGCGGCAGCUGCAGGGGUGCGACGACUGGCAGGGGCUGCUCGAGCCGGCGGCGGUGCACCCGCUGCUGCGCGCCGAGGUGGCGCGCUACGGCGAGCUGGUGGACGCGUGCUACAAGGCCUUCGACCUGGACCCGGCGUCGCGCCGGCACCUCAACUGCAAGUACGGCCGCGAGCGGAUGCUGGAGGAGGUGGGCAUGGCCGGCGCCGGCUACGAGAUCACGCGCUACAUCUACGCGGCGGCGGACGUGACGGUGCCCACCAUGGAGCCGUCCACCAGCGGGCGCGGCCGCUGGAUCGGCUACGUGGCCGUGUCCACGGACGAGAUGACGGGGCGGCUGGGCAGGCGCGACGUCCUGGUCUCGUUCCGCGGCACGGUGACGCCCGCCGAGUGGAUGGCCAAUCUGAUGAGCUCGCUGGAGCCGGCGCGCCUGGACCCCUGCGACCCGCGCCCGGACGUCAAGGUGGAGUCGGGAUUCCUCAGCCUCUACACCUCCGUCGACAAGACGUGCCGCUUCGGCGGCGCGGGGAGCUGCCGGGAGCAGCUCCUGCGCGAGGUGUCGCGCCUCGUCGGCUCGUGCGCCAAGGCACGGCCCGGCGAGGACGUCAGCGUCACCCUGGCGGGGCACAGCAUGGGGAGCGCGCUGGCGCUGCUCUUCGCGUACGACCUCGUGGAGCUGGGCCUCAACCGCGGCGCGCCCGUCACCGUCUUCUCCUUCGGCGGGCCCCGCGUCGGGAACGCCGCCUUCAAGGCCCGGUGCGACGAGCUGGGCGUCAAGGCGCUGCGCGUGGCCAACGUCCACGACCCCAUCACCAAGCUCCCGGGCAUCUUCCUCAACGAGGCCACCGCGCGGGUGCAGGCGCUCCGCCCGUGGCGCGACUCCUGCUACACCCACGUCGGCGUGGAGCUGCCCCUGGACUUCUUCAGGAUGGGCGACCUGGCCAGCGUCCACGACCUGGGCACGUACGUCGCAUUGCUCAAGAGCGGCGGCGGCGGCGACAAGCCAGCCGCGGCCACUCGACGCAGCGACGGCGGCGUGCUGGCGAAGGUGGUGGAGUUCGUGGGGCGGCGACGCGCGGGCGCCUUGCCAUGGCAGGACGCGGCCCUGCAGAUGGGCGGCCUGGUGCAGACCCUGGGGCUCAUCUGAGUCUGUCUGACCUCAGCAACCGUCGGCCGUGAUUAACUGCUCAGUAGUGAUCCUCUUGGAUAAUUUUAUUUUUUAGAGGAUCGCUUCACUUGUUUUUUUUUUGUACAGAUCGAUUGAUCGGUCCAUCGAUCAACGUAGCCCGAUCCUUCUCAGGGUUGAGAUCGAAAGGGGAUUUCUUUGUUUAAAUUCGUUUUUUUCUCGUUGGCUCAUAUACAGCGAACAUACAGCCAACGACCAUGUAACGGAGGCAAAGCUUGCUCGAAAAAGGGCAGACAAACACGCAAAGCCAUAUCAUCUGUUCGAUUUACAUACCUCUUCUUUCUGUUGCAGAAACACGAACAGCAUCCCUACUACUAUACAUUAUUCUUAUUCCAACUAAAACAAGUUUACAAUGUCAUGGGACUCCGACCCUCGAUCGGAGCUGUCUUUCAGGAUUCGGG